Molecule: long non-coding RNA, 1451 nt
Filed under: Olea europaea subsp. europaea
Lineage: Eukaryota; Viridiplantae; Streptophyta; Magnoliopsida; Lamiales; Oleaceae
Source: RNAcentral
AUCCUCUAGAAAACUUUAUUCAUGUCAGCAGAACAAUUAAUUCAAUUUGCGUAUGUUAAUAUUCAAAAAUAUUGCAAAUGGUAGUUAUCUUGGAUUGAAGUUUUAAUACUCUUAAAUAAAAUAUGAAGAUAAAUUGGAAAUAAAGCAUUCGAUUUAUUGGUAAGUUAGUAGAUAAUCAACAAUCAACUUUCAACCCGCUUAAUUGUAUAAAAUUAAAAAGAACGUGCAAUCUUUUAAGAGUAACAUGUACAAAUACUCAACUACAUGUCUUGGUGAAACUAAAGAAUGAAAGAGAAUAAAAGAACAACUAAAAUAGAUAGCAAAAACCAAUCUCCAGUAACUUACUCUCACCACACUCUUAUUAAAGGUACUGAUUUUUAACAUAAAGUGCUUCACAAAUAAGUCGAGAAAACAGGUCCCUAGGCAACUCGAGAUCGAGAACAGGAAGAAAAAUAAAAUGAUGCCACGGGCAAUUACAAAAACAUCAUGCUACAUUGAUGAUUUGGAUUCAUUUACUCUAUUUAAUGAAGAAACCUAUAUCGCCGCAUGAAAAUCACAUAUUAUACAAUGUAAUCCAAAUGGUUUUGCCUAUUUUAACGUUCUCAAAUAACUAUGUCUAACAUCAUCCACAAGAUAUCCUGAAAAUCUCUUUUCUAUUAUUACAUAAGUGUAAUAUAGAAUCCUGAAAAUGUUUCAACAGACCGUGAACAAGAGAAAGGGUACAGACAUAUAGAUGCAUCACACAACCCUCAGUCCAAUGAUUCCACUAUGUGAAAUAAUCACAUAAUAUUUUUUUACACCCGAAGCCGCAAGAACAAUCUCACGUCAAGCCUAAAAAAUAAUGACUAGAUUGAGAAUUAUGAAGAAAUAUAAUAUGUUUCUCCCCUAUCCUCUUUCUUCCCUUUACUUGAAGUCCAUCAAGUGUUUUAUACGUAAACCAGAGUUUACUACCCAGAGUUGCAAAAUCAAAAAAAAAAAGAAGAAGAAGAAAUAUCUUCCCUAGGAUGUGAAGAAGAAACGAUUUCCAUCGAUUUCCCGAUUCAAACCUUAUAUCCGUCAACACUUUCCUUUCACAAUUGAAAAAAUAAAAUAUGCAGAACAAAUAGAAAUAAUAGAAUCAACAACGAUAUAUGAAAAUUUGGGAUGAAUUCAUUGUUAUUUGGGGGAAUUUUUUGAAACAAAAUCACCUAGACCGACAGAAAGAUGCAGAGGCGUAGAAAUUCACAUAAACUUCCAGAUUGAAACGGAGAUAGAGUUGAGAAGAAAUUAAGUAGGGAUUCACGAAUUCCCUAUACCGAAAGAGAGAUAGAGAGGCGAAGAAACUCACAAAAUCCCUUGGACCGCGCGAACGAGAGAUGGAGAUGAGGAGAAAACAACGCAGGGAAGGAUUUAGGAGAAUUGAUAUAUUCUUAGGGUAAAAGCUGCAGGACGCGUAUAUGUUUUGGUAAAAU